This 1024-nucleotide ribosomal RNA is filed under the name uncultured organism. RNAcentral describes it as "bacterial SSU rRNA". It matches the Rfam family "Bacterial small subunit ribosomal RNA", at positions 95 to 1152 of the family's 1533-position model. The record is from RNAcentral.
GCGGCAGACGGGUGAGUAACACGUAGAUAACCUGCCCUCAAGACGGGGACAACCGGUGGAAACAGCGGCUAAUACCCGAUAUGCUCACAGGAUCGGGAGGUCGAGUGAGGAAAGGCUUCGGUGCUUGAGGAGGGAUCUGCGGCCCAUCAGCUAGUUGGUGAGGUAACGGCUCACCAAGGCGAAGACGGGUAGGGGGUGUGAGAGCAUGGCCCCCCACAAUGGGACUGAGACACGGCCCAUACUCCUAGGGGAGGCAGCAGCGGGGAAUAUUGCGCAAUGGACGGAAGUCAGACGCAGCGACGCCGCGUGGGUGAGGAAGGCCUUCGGGUUGUAAAGCCCUUUUCAGGGGAGCGAGAAAGGACGGUACCCUUGGAAUAAGCGUCGGCUAACUACGUGCCAGCAGCCGCGGUAAGACGUAGGACGCAAGCGUUAUCCGGAUUUACUGGGCGUAAAGCGCCUGUAGGCGGUCAAGUAAGUCGGAUGUGAAAGCCCCGUGCUCAACGCGGGGAAGCCAUUCGAUACUGCGUGACUAGAGAACGGCAGAGGGAAACGGAAUUUCUGGUGUAGCGGUAAAAUGCGCAGAGAUCAGAAAGAACACCGAUGGCGAAGGCAGUUUCCUAGGCCGCAUCUGACGCUGAGAGGCGAAAGCUAGGGGAGCAAACAGGAUUAGAGACUCUGGUAGUCCUAGCUGUAAACGAUGGAUGCUAGGUGUUGGCCGGAAAGGUCCGUGCCGUAGUUAACGCGAUAAGCAUACCGCCUGGGGAGUACGCCCGCAAGGCUUUAACUCUAACGAAUUGACGGGGACCCGCACAAGCAACGGAGCGUGUGGUUUAAUUCGAUGCUACACGCAGAACCUUACCUGGGCUUGACAUGUAGAUGGUAGUGAAGUGAAAACGGAGCGACCCUUCGGGGAGCCUACACAGGUGCUGCAUGGCUGUCGUCAGCUCGUGCCCUGAGGUGUCGGGUUAAGUCUCGUAACGAGCGCAACCCUUGUCCUUAGUUACAACGUGUCUAAGGAGACUGC